RNAcentral lists this ribosomal RNA (481 nucleotides) under uncultured Pseudomonadota bacterium. Its description in RNAcentral is "bacterial SSU rRNA". It matches the Rfam family "Bacterial small subunit ribosomal RNA", at positions 355 to 828 of the family's 1533-position model. The record is from RNAcentral. Lineage: Bacteria; Pseudomonadati; Pseudomonadota.
UGGGGAAUAUUGGACAAUGGGCGCAAGCCUGAUCCAGCCAUGCCGCGUGUGUGAAGAAGGCCUUCGGGUUGUAAAGCACUUUUGUCCGGAAAGAAAAGCUUCGGGUUAAUAACCAGGAGUCAUGACGGUACCGGAAGAAUAAGCACCGGCUAACUUCGUGCCAGCAGCCGCGGUAAUACGAAGGGUGCAAGCGUUACUCGGAAUUACUGGGCGUAAAGCGUGCGUAGGUGGUUUGUUAAGUCUGAUGUGAAAGCCCUGGGCUCAACCUGGGAACGGCAUUGGAUACUGGCUUACUAGAGUGCGGUAGAGGGUAGUGGAAUUCCCGAUGUAGCAGUGAAAUGCGUAGAUAUCGGGAGGAACAUCUGUGGCGAAGGCGACUACCUGGACCAGCACUGACACUGAGGCACGAAAGCGUGGGGAGCAAACAGGAUUAGAUACCCUGGUAGUCCACGCCCUAAACGAUGCGAACUGGAUGUUGGGU